Diospyros lotus (date-plum) is the source of this 3524-nucleotide RNA transcript. It is a transcript of the gene named coatomer subunit beta'-1-like, with no coding region annotated. The record is from RefSeq and is a predicted model, not a curated record. NCBI's taxonomy places the organism in Eukaryota, Viridiplantae, Streptophyta, Magnoliopsida, Ericales, Ebenaceae. The transcript has 26 exons.
GCCCUUCGUUUCCUGAUUUUGGGCUGUUACAAAAACACUCAACCUCCUCUCUCUCUCUCUCUCCCUCUCUCUCUCUCUUGAUCUCGGCCGCUGCGUGUUUCUUCCGUCCGCUCGGGCAGCAAUUCAAGCGAGAAUCAUUGUGCUCUACUGGUUCAUACAAGGAGAUCACACCUGGAUCUCAGUGGUGGAUCAACUCCUUCUCUGAUUCCAUCACCGGAGGCUCGUUUCGUCUCCCAAAAUGCCUCUCAGACUGGAAAUCAAGAGAAAACUUGCUCAAAGAUCAGAAAGAGUGAAGUCUGUCGAUCUGCAUCCAACAGAGCCAUGGAUUCUGGCUAGUUUGUAUUCUGGGACUGUUUGCAUAUGGAACUACCAGUCUCAGACUAUGGUGACAUCUUUUGAGGUCACUGAAUUACCAGUUAGGUCUGCAAAGUUCAUUGCACGAAAGCAAUGGGUUGUUGCUGGUGCUGAUGACAUGUUUAUUCGUGUAUACAAUUACAAUACAAUGGAUAAGAUAAAAGUAUUUGAGGCGCACACAGAUUAUAUUAGGUGUGUGGCUGUUCAUCCCAACCUUCCAUAUGUGCUGUCAUCAUCUGAUGACAUGCUUAUAAAGCUUUGGGAUUGGGACAAGGGCUGGGUGUGUACUCAGAUUUUUGAGGGUCAUUCUCAUUACGUCAUGCAAGUUACAUUUAAUCCGAAGGAUACCAACACAUUUGCUAGUGCUUCUCUUGAUCGCACUAUAAAGAUAUGGAAUCUUGGCUCCCCUGACCCAAAUUUUACAUUAGAUGCCCACUUGAAAGGGGUAAACUGUGUUGAUUACUUCACAGGUGGUGAUAAGCCUUUCCUGAUAACUGGUUCUGAUGAUCACACUGCAAAGGUUUGGGACUACCAAACCAGAAGUUGUGUCCAGACACUAGAAGGCCACACCCACAAUGUUUCAGCUGUAUGUUUUCACCCUGAGCUUCCUAUUAUAAUUACUGGUUCUGAGGAUGGAACUGUUCGUAUAUGGCAUGCUACCACUUAUCGCCUGGAGAACACAUUGAAUUACGGUCUUGAACGAGUUUGGGCCAUUGGAUAUAUGAAAGGUUCACGCCGGGUGGUUAUUGGUUAUGAUGAAGGAACCAUUAUGGUAAAAAUUGGUCGAGAAGUACCUGUAGCUAGCAUGGACAACAGCGGGAAAAUCAUAUGGGCUAAGCAUAAUGAAAUCCAGACUGUAAACAUUAAGAGUGUUGGAGCAGAUUAUGAGGUUACCGAUGGAGAAAGAUUACCGUUGGCAGUGAAAGAAUUGGGGAACUGUGAUCUUUACCCACAGAGCUUAAAGCAUAACCCGAAUGGAAGGUUUGUUGUUGUUUGCGGAGAUGGUGAGUACAUCAUAUAUACAGCUCUGGCAUGGAGAAAUAGGUCAUUUGGUUCAGCAUUGGAAUUUGUUUGGUCAUCUGAUGGUGAAUAUGCUGUUAGAGAAAGUACCUCAAGGAUCAAAAUUUUCAGUAAGAAUUUCCAGGAAAAGAGAAGCAUCCGCCCUACAUUUUCUGCCGAGCAUAUAUUUGGGGGAACUUUACUAGCUAUGUGUUCAAAUGAUUUUAUUUGCUUUUAUGAUUGGGCUGAAUGCAGGCUGAUUAGGCGGAUUGAUGUUAAUGUCAAAAACCUGUACUGGGCUGAUAGUGGUGAUUUAGUGGCAAUAACCAGUGACACAUCAUUUUAUAUACUAAAGUAUAAUAGGGAUGUAGUUUCUUCGCAUUUAGAUAGUGGAAGACAAGUAGAUGAACAAGGUGUUGAGGAUGCUUUUGAGCUUCUUUAUGAAAUAAAUGAACGAGCCAGGACUGGCAUAUGGGUUGGGGAUUGUUUUAUUUAUAAUAACUCUUCCUGGAGACUUAAUUACUGUGUUGGGGGUGAGGUUACCACAAUGUUUCAUUUGGAUCGGCCAAUGUACUUGUUGGGAUAUUUAGCAAAUCAGAGUAGAGUGUAUCUAAUUGACAAAGAGUUCAAUGUUAUGGGGUAUACCUUACUCCUUAGCUUGAUAGAGUACAAGACUCUCGUGAUGCGUGGUGACCUGGAACGAGCCAAUGAAAUAUUGCCUUCAAUUUCUAAUGAGCACCACAAUAGUGUUGCUCAUUUCUUGGAAUCACGGGGAAUGAUAGAGGAUGCAUUGGAAGUGGCAACAGAUCCUGACUACAAGUUUGAGCUAGCCAUACAAUUGGGUAAACUAGAAGUUGCAAAGGAAAUUGCUGCAGCAGCACAGAGUGAAUCCAAAUGGAAGCAGCUGGGUGAAUUAGCGAUGUCCACUGGAAUGUUGGAGAUGGCAGAAGAUUGUUUAAAAAAUGCAAUGGACUUGAGUGGUUUAUUGCUACUUUACUCUUCUUUAGGAGAUGCAGAAGGGGUAUCAAAGCUUGCAUCUCUUGCCAAAGAGCAUGGAAAAAACAAUGUCGCUUUCCUGUGUCUGUUCUUGUUGGGUAAAGUGGAAGAGUGCCUACAGCUUUUGGUUGACAGCAAUCGGAUACCAGAGGCUGCUUUAAUGGCACGUUCUUAUCUUCCAAGCAACGUUCCAGAGAUAGUUGAAAUUUGGAAAAAGGACCUGCAUAAGGUUAAUCCAAAGGCUGCAGAAUCUUUGGCCGAUCCAAGAGAGUAUCCUAAUUUGUUCGAGGACUGGCAAGUUGGUCUUGCAAUUGAAUCAAAAGUUGCAGAGAAAAGGGGUGUUUUUCCUCCAGCAGAGGAGUAUGUAAAAUAUGCCUAUAGAUCACAAGUUAACCUUGUGGAUGCUUUCAGAGAUAUGCAAAUGGAUGAAAAUGUGCCACUUGAAAAUGGAGGCUUGAAUCAUGAGGUUGAAGAAUACAAUGGAGAGGAAGAGGCACAUGAUGGAGUGCAAGGAGAUGCAAGGGAUGAAGGGCAAGAAGAGGCUGUUGUGACUGAUGCUGACUCCACUGAUGGUGCAGUACUUGUUAAUGGUAAUGAGGCUGACGAAGAGUGGGGUACGAAUACUGAAGGAAAUCCAUCAGCCUAAAAGCAAUUGGUUGGACCAGUGUGAAAAUCCUAAUUUUGUCACUGUGCUUACACCAAAUUAUGAACACCAGUGAAGACUGUUGUCCCAGCUGUACCAAUCUUCUUUCUUAAGGCUUGAAUGAAAGAGAUGAUGUUUGUGGGACCCGUCGUCUCCACACUGCAGAACAGUGAUCUUUUUGUAGCACAUGGAAUUUUGUCAUGGGCAAAUAUCUUGGAACUUUUUUAUUUCUUUUUUAAACUACCAUUCACCAAAUUUCGCCCGUGUUAUGCCCUUUUAGUUGCGCCUGGGUUUUUUAUAACUUAAAUCUAUGAGGCAAUUUUGUUUCUUCGAAAUUUGUUUACAUGGCGUUUGAAUGUGUAGUAAGAAUGAAUUAUAGUGAUUAUGAAAAUGAUUACACGUUCAACCCCACCACCUCCACCUCCACCUCAAUUCUCAAUUUUGUACUUCUUUUCAUCUCUGUGAAGCCAAUAGAAGACUGAAGUGAGUCAUAGCUGCACAUCUAACACAAAAAGUGUUUCCCAGUUUUCAA